AUUGAACGCUGGCGGCAGGCUUAACACAUGCAAGUCGAGCGGGGGAAGGUAGCUUGCUACCGGACCUAGCGGCGGACGGGUGAGUAAUGCUUAGGAAUCUGCCUAUUAGUGGGGGACAACAUCUCGAAAGGGAUGCUAAUACCGCAUACGUCCUACGGGAGAAAGCAGGGGAUCUUCGGACCCUGCGCUAAUAGAUGAGCCUAAGUCGGAUUAGCUAGUUGGUGGGGUAAAGGCCUACCAAGGCGACGAUCUGUAGCGGGUCUGAGAGGAUGAUCCGCCACACUGGGACUGAGACACGGCCCAGACUCCUACGGGAGGCAGCAGUGGGGAAUAUUGGACAAUGGGGGGAACCCUGGUCCAGCCAUGCCGCGUGUGUGAAGAAGGCCUUAUGGUUGUAAAGCACUUUAAGCGAGGAGGAGGCUACUCUAGUUAAUACCUAGGGAUAGUGGACGUUACUCGCAGAAUAAGCACCGGCUAACUCUGUGCCAGCCGCCGCGGUAA
RNAcentral lists this ribosomal RNA (501 nucleotides) under uncultured bacterium. RNAcentral describes it as "partial 16S ribosomal RNA". It matches the Rfam family "Bacterial small subunit ribosomal RNA", at positions 30 to 523 of the family's 1533-position model. The record is from RNAcentral.